UACAGAGGUGGCAAGCGUUGUUCGGAAUUACUGGGCGUAAAGGGCGCGUAGGCGGCCUUCUAAGUCAGACGUGAAAUCCCCCGGCUCAACCUGGGAACUGCGUCUGAUACUGGAGGGCUUGAAUGCGGGAGAGGGAUGUAGAAUUCCAGGUGUAGCGGUGAAAUGCGUAGAUAUCUGGAGGAAUACCGGUGGCGAAGGCGGCAUCCUGGACCGACAUUGACGCUGAGGAGCGAAAGCUGGGGGAGCAAACGGG
This 253-nucleotide ribosomal RNA is filed under the name uncultured bacterium. Its description in RNAcentral is "partial 16S ribosomal RNA". It matches the Rfam family "Bacterial small subunit ribosomal RNA", at positions 524 to 776 of the family's 1533-position model. The record is from RNAcentral.